Molecule: non-coding RNA, 1013 nt
Organism: Ciona savignyi (Pacific transparent sea squirt)
Lineage: Eukaryota; Metazoa; Chordata; Ascidiacea; Phlebobranchia; Cionidae
Source: Rfam
UACCUGGUUGAUCCUGCCAGUAGUCAUAUGCUUGUCUCAAAGAUUAAGCCAUGCAAGUCUAAGUACGAGCUCUCGUACAGUGAAACUGCGAAUGGCUCAUUAAAUCAGUUAUGGUUCAUUUGAUCGUACAGUUUACUUGGAUAACUGUGGUAAUUCUAGAGCUAAUACAUGCGAGAAGCGCCGACCUCGCGGGAGGCGUGCAUUUAUCAGACCAAAAACCGGCCGCGUCUUCGGGCGCGUUCGCCUUGGUGACUCUGGAUAACUUUGCGGAUCGCACGGUCUAGCACCGGCGACGGAUCAUUCAAGUGUCUGCCCUAUCAACUUUCGUCGGUACGGUAUUUGCCUACCGAGGUUCCUACGGGUGACGGGGAAUCAGGGUUCGAUUCCGGAGAGGGAGCCUGAGAAACGGCUACCACAUCCAAGGAAGGCAGCAGGCGCGCAAAUUACCCAUUCCCGACGCGGGGAGGUAGUGACGAAAAAUAACAAUGCAGGACUCGUUCGAGGCCCUGUAAUUGGAAUGAGUACACUUUAAAAGCUUUAACGAGUAUCCAUUGGAGGGCAAGUCUGGUGCCAGCAGCCGCGGUAAUUCCAGCUCCAAAAGUAUAUAUUUAAGUUGUUGCGGUUAAAAAGCUCGUAGUUGGAUUUUGGGCGCAGGCGGCCGGUCCGUCGCAAGGCGUGUACUGGACGUCCUGGCCUUCCCUCCGGUUCUCCGCCGGUGCUCUUGACUGAGUGUCGGCGGCGGCCGGAACGUUUACUUUGAAAAAAUUAGAGUGUUCAAAGCAGGCUCUCGAGCCUGGAUAAUGGUGCAUGGAAUAAUGGAAUAGGACCUCGGUUCUAUUUUGUUGGUUUUCGGAGCGCGAGGUAAUGAUUAAGAGGGACAGACGGGGGCAUUCGUACUGUGCCGUUAGAGGUGAAAUUCUUGGAUCGGCGCAAGACGAACGACUGCGAAAGCAUUUGCCAAGAAUGUUUUCUUUAAUCAAGAGCGAAAGUCAGAGGUUCGAAGACGAUCAGAU